UAGGGAAUCUUCCGCAGUGGGCGAAAGCCUGACGGAGCAACGCCGCGUGAGUGAUGAAGGUCUUCGGAUCGUAAAACUCUGUUAUUAGGGAAGAACAAAUGUGUAAGUAACUAUGCACGUCUUGACGGUACCUAAUCAGAAAGCCACGGCUAACUACGUGCCAGCAGCCGCGGUAAUACGUAGGUGGCAAGCGUUAUCCGGAAUUAUUGGGCGUAAAGCGCGCGUAGGCGGUUUUUUAAGUCUGAUGUGAAAGCCCACGGCUCAACCGUGGAGGGUCAUUGGAAACUGGAAAACUUGAGUGCAGAAGAGGAAAGUGGAAUUCCAUGUGUAGCGGUGAAAUGCGCAGAGAUAUGGAGGAACACCAGUGGCGAAGGCGACUUUCUGGUCUGUAACUGACGCUGAUGUGCGAAAGCGUGGGGAUCAAACAGG
RNAcentral lists this ribosomal RNA (429 nucleotides) under Actinomycetes bacterium. RNAcentral's name for it is "Actinobacteria bacterium partial 16S ribosomal RNA". It matches the Rfam family "Bacterial small subunit ribosomal RNA", at positions 355 to 776 of the family's 1533-position model. Lineage: Bacteria; Bacillati; Actinomycetota; Actinomycetes. The record is from RNAcentral.